RNAcentral lists this transfer RNA (71 nucleotides) under Ictidomys tridecemlineatus (thirteen-lined ground squirrel). Its description in RNAcentral is "Spermophilus tridecemlineatus (thirteen-lined ground squirrel) tRNA". It matches the Rfam family "tRNA". From Rfam's summary of the family: Transfer RNA (tRNA) molecules are approximately 80 nucleotides in length. Lineage: Eukaryota; Metazoa; Chordata; Mammalia; Rodentia; Sciuridae. The record is from Rfam by way of RNAcentral.
GUGGUUGUGGCUUAGUGGUAGAGUGCUUGCCUCAUAUGUGUGAAGUCCUGGGUUCGAUCCUCAGCACUACA